Long non-coding RNA from Astatotilapia calliptera (eastern happy), 2831 nucleotides. NCBI's taxonomy places the organism in Eukaryota, Metazoa, Chordata, Actinopteri, Cichliformes, Cichlidae. The record is from Ensembl.
UACAGCUCUGCUAUCACUUCCAGCAUAAAUGAAGACAGAAAACUAAACAGCAGUGACGUUUGUAGGGUUACUGAAGUUGGGCUAGCUGGUAUAUAAUGAUGUGCUACGUGACCACUAGCGACACAGCUAGGUUAGCAUAAUAUAAACAAGCUAACUUUUUUUCCCACUCGAUAAAAGUUAACGUGAGUGUUCUCGGUGGUCAGGGACAAAUGUAAUCGCAUGGCAGGAUGCUGUAAAAGGACCAAACUUCAGCCAGAAGAACAACUGAGAUAAUCCAUCCACAAUACGAGGUUAGUCAUUCAUAUACUGCUGCAUGGGCUGUGCUGUAGUUACAUCCUAAGGUUUAAAAACUGAGCUUAAAUAAAUGAUUAGUGGUAAUAAAAGCUGAGGGAGGUCAACAGGGAUCACUGACUGUUUUAGGAGCUUUUUGAGAUCAAAUAGAAGAAAAUACAUAACAUUAAACAUGUUAACAACACAAAAGCCAUAUUAAACGCAGACUACUUUAGGCCCGGAAGUAGGAUUCGUCAUGUCAUCACUUAACGACUGGAUUAUCAGUUUAAUAGCUCCAUAGUGUUAGAAGCUAGCAAUGUGAACAUUGCUAGCUUCUAACACCACCAAUUGUAUUAAUGCAGUUUGUGCGGAUAAAGAAAGAGAGGGCUUUAGGUCUUUGCAUAUAAAAAACGGCUGUAUAGAAAGUUAAUAUUUUAGCAUAAGUAGCGUUCUGUUGUAAAUCGCCUAUGGAGUCUAUGGAGGGAUAUUUUUAAUGAUCGCAAUCACCGGGUUCAUAAAUUCAGAGAUGUGCCAGUUACAUCUUGACAUAAAAAGCAUGUUGUUGUGUUCUGAUACAUGUGGCAGUGCAGAUAGGUGGAUAUUGUACAUGCUGUUUAUCACAGCAGCAGCUCCACUUCAUUAUUAUUUGGACCUUUGAUGUAUUUUUGAUGAUGGCCUUGACUGGUGUAGCUUUUUAUGCACGCAUGCAGGCACAAACACUCCCUCCUGCUCAUCUUCAAAAGAACCAGCAUGAACACGUCAUUCCAUAUGGCAUCAUUAUAUGUGUGUACAUGAUGUAUUUUAAUACAUGUGUAUCUGCUCCCUCUGAAUGAUCCCUCUGGGAUGUUAGCAAUCUUCUGUUUGUACGGUACAGUAGGCCCUCAUCCAUGCACAUAUGCAUGGGUGUGUGUGUGUGUGUGUGUUUUGGGGGGGGGGGGGGGGGGGGGUGCUUGACUCAUCUGUUCAUAAUGCCGUCCAUUAUAAACAACAAUGGCUUUUAAAAAUCACUGCUGGAUUUUGUAUCUUCACCUGCCUUGUCACUUGUGACUAAUGGGCAUCACUUCCGAGUGCCUAACCACAUAAAUGUGAGCAGUGGGACUGGGCUGCUGGCUUAUGUAAUACUGCCAGCACAGUUUUCUGCCUCCAAACUCCCUCCUCCUUUCCCUCCCUCUUUCUAUUGCUCUCUCUUGCUCUCUCUCGCUCCCGCUAACCCUCUAUGUCUCUUGCCCUCUCCCAGCUUGGCUGAUGUGAUGUGAUGUGGCUUCGUUGCCUAGCAGCCAUCCCCUUGUUUGAGUAACUGGGGAAGUGGAGAGAGAUCUGGUCCUCUGAACAGCAUACAUAUACAGUGGGAAGACACAAACAGUCACUACACACACAUACACACAGAUGCACGACGUGUGGUUUUACAAGUUUGACAGUGUCUGUUUGAUGUCUGCUGCUACCAUGUGAGGAAUGAACCAGCUAUAAUCAAUGUCUCGGGCUGGUGUAAAUUGAUUUGUGUUAUGGGAAGAGUCCCUGGCUUUGCUUUUAGAGAAAAAAAAAGCCGUCUGUUCUUCUCCCUCCCUGCAGCGUUGCAAGCACCAAUCUCUACCUUCCCUGUAUUCUUUUUUUUUUUUAAAAGAACCGCCCACGCCCCGAUCGCUCUUGGCAUGAAAAUCCCUCAUUCAUCAAUACUUCGAUUUUUGGACAUGGAGAUUAUCUAUCACUAUCGCCUCUUUUCUGCCAUCGGAAUAGUCUAUUUUUACUCUCUCUCCCUCCUCACUCACCGACUCUCCCUUGUUCCGUCCUCUCCUCAUUAGCACCGUGUGAGACACCUACACAGGGGCUUCGGGAGAUGAAUGGUCUAAUCCUCAAGGGGAAGGAGUGAAGUAUUACAUGGUGCACAAAGAUACACACAUACUCUGACAAUGAGAGACAUGCGAUGAAGUCAUUUUGAGGUACAGCACAAGUAUAUAUGCUUAAACAUAUAGUAUACACACACAUGUACACACAUUCAUACUUACACUGUCACUGUGAUGCCACCCAUGCACAUCACUCUGGUGUCACUUUCAUACCUGAGCAACACACCCUCCACACCUCGUGAUAAACAAACGUACAUGAACCGCGGUGACCGUUUUGGGGGAGGUUUCUAUGCAAGCGUGGUAUUCAGGUCAUCAACGUGGAUGCCAACCCGGCAGGGGCACAUAGAGGGCACGGGCUGGGCGGUGCUGCUGCUGCGGGGCGCCAACAAGGAAACUGUAAACCAUCACUGUGAUGACCAAACAAGGCUGGGGAGUCAUGGAUGGGUGAGGGGUGUGAUGGAGGUUAUAAGGAUCAGAUGUGGUUUCAUAAUCUCAUUUAUUAAUAAAAUGACAGAUGCGUCGGAGUUGAUCCCCAAGGGGAAAAUGUGUUCGAGCAUUUUCAGUGUUCACGCGUUGACAUAAGAAUGUAUUCAAAAUGCUGUAAAAAUCAUUUGUAAAAUAAAAAUGAAAAUGUUUUGAUGAUUGAGAUGAAUUUUCAGUUAAAAAACACUAACAAAAAAACUCAAUAAAUGUUUGCCUGUAGUUUUACUAUGAGUUACA